UCAGACACUGCACUUCUUUAUACUUCUGAGAAAGACAUUUGUUCUGAUGGCAUUCGGUGCCUGAGAAAAAUGCAGUAGUUGAUGACCUCCCUGGAAGGGUAUUGCAAAAGGAGAGUCUUCUUAAGACCUCAACGCUUAGGAAAGAGUAAUCCAAAUCAGUUUCUGUUGAUAAAUAUUUCCUAACUAGAAAUCAACUUAGGUUUCACUAGUGAAAACUCUCAAAGCAUGUGCUUGAUAUAAAGGUUUUGCAGUCCUGACUAACCCCAUUUCUUGAGUCAAGGCCUGAAGUGAUGAAAGCUUGACCAAUUUACAAGAAAUGGCUUGGCUGACAUGAAUUACUUUAAAACAUUAUAGUGGCUUUCAGAGAGGAGCAGCUUGAUAGGAGGUUUGUCUUGAGCUUGAAAUGAGCAAUUAGGUAUGGAAAGCAUAAGAAUUAUUUAUUUUUAACUGACAUCCCACUUUUCUUAUAUGUGGCUGCAGGAAAAACCUGUCUGGAAAGACACAACACUGAUGGCAUUGAGAACAAGGUAUAUUACCCUUAUCCUGACUAGGACUUGGACAUUAGUUCCAUAGAAAAAAUCUACUGCUUUUUUUCCUUUUCCUUGUUUCCUUUGGUGAUAAAAAAAAGUGAGAAUAUGGGCAUGCUGUAGAGUCAGAAACAUUUCCUUUAUGGGUGAAAAGAGGAACAAAUGAGUUAAGAGAAAAGCAAGGACUCCCUAACCUCGUAUUUUCCACAGUUCACUACUGCAGGAACUAAAAUGAAUGCUAGAUGGGGAAUGGAAAAGUUUGCUGCUGCUAACACUGAGGUGAUACUGCUCUAUGUAACUAUAAAAGUAAGGACUGUUUCCAUUUUGUUUCAUGUGUUUGUUUUACCUGAACUUUCCAGGCUCAUCCCCCAGGCAUCAGCACGUGCUUGGUCACUGAGAAAUGAAAAAGAGUAGGAAAUAAACUUUAUCUGCUCUUCUGUCUCUCUGCUGGUCACAGACUCGAACCAGAACGAGGUGUCGUUAUCUACCCGGGAUGGCUCUGGGCACCACAAUGACAGAAUCCCCUCAGAAGUCCACUGUGCGGCAUUUUUAACUGAAGGGAGAGAAACAAGCUAGAGGAUCCUUCACAGACCUAUAGGGCCAAUUUCAAUCUCAGCGUGAGGCCAUCUCCACAAGCAGAUGUUUAAUUUAUUGCACUGAAAUGCUGGAAUGCCACAUUUGAGGCUGGCUCUUUGACUAAUAUGUGAAAGUUAAGAAGAACCCAGCCAAAACACCACAAACCCAAAGGAAACAGAUCUUGUUUUGCUGUCAACAGCCUGACAGAUAAUAGUUAAAGAUCUGAAAACAAUGUUUUAAACUUACAAAAUAUAAAGGAGAUCCUGUUCCUGCAGGAAGGAAGUGGUUUACAACAGUGAAGUGUGGUGAUCGCCUAGCAAGUUGAUCCCAUUGUAAGAGCUCAUCAGGCAUUGCUUUCAGCACCUGCAGAAGA
This is a long non-coding RNA of Pezoporus occidentalis (night parrot), 1476 nucleotides long. RefSeq lists it as uncharacterized. Lineage: Eukaryota; Metazoa; Chordata; Aves; Psittaciformes; Psittacidae. The record is from RefSeq and is a predicted model, not a curated record. The transcript has 5 exons.